GAUGAACGCUGGCGGCGUGCCUAAUACAUGCAAGUCGAACGCAUUGUGGUUGAAAUGAUAUGAAGAACUUGUUCAGAUUUGAUUUUCAACAUUGCAAUGAGUGGCGAACGGGUGAGUAACACGUGGGAAACCUACCUCUUAGCAGGGGAUAACAUUUGGAAACAAAUGCUAAUACCGUAUAAUAAUUAAAACCGCAUGGUUUUAGUUUAAAAGAUGGUCUUGCUAUCACUAAGAGAUGGUCCCGCGGUGUAUUAGUUAGUUGGUGAGGUAAUGGCUCACCAAGACAAUGAUACAUAGCCGAGUUGAGAGACUGACCGGCCACAAUGGGACUGAGACACGGCCCAUACUCCUACGGGAGGCAGCAGUAGGAAUACUUCCACAAUAGGACGAAAGUCUGAUGGAGCGAACGCCGCGUGUGUGAUGAAAGGGUUUCGGCUCGUAAAACACUGUUGU
RNAcentral lists this ribosomal RNA (453 nucleotides) under uncultured bacterium. RNAcentral's name for it is "bacterial SSU rRNA". It matches the Rfam family "Bacterial small subunit ribosomal RNA", at positions 28 to 439 of the family's 1533-position model. The record is from RNAcentral.